CACCGCGGUUAUACGAGAGGUCCAAGUUGAUAGAAAUCGGCGUAAAGAGUGGUUAGGAUAAUUUUACUUAACUAAAGCCAAACACCUUCAGAACUGUUAUACGUACCCGAAGGCAUGAAGAACCGCUACGAAAGUGGCUUUAUUUACCCUGAACCCACGAAAGCUAUGUCA
RNAcentral lists this ribosomal RNA (171 nucleotides) under Myripristis botche (blacktip soldierfish). RNAcentral describes it as "partial 12S rRNA". The record is from RNAcentral. Lineage: Eukaryota; Metazoa; Chordata; Actinopteri; Holocentriformes; Holocentridae.